UUUUUUUUUUUUUUUUUCUUUUGAGAUGGAGUUUCACUCUUGUUGCCCAGGCUGGAGUGCAGUGGUGCGAUCUCGGCUCACUGAAACCUCUGCCUUCCGGCUUCUGGUUUCAAGUGAUUCUUCUGCUUCAGCCUCCCAAGUAGCUGGGAUUACAGGAACCCUCCACCCCGCCUGGCUAAUUUUUUUUGUAUUUUAGUAGAGAUGGGGUUUCACUAUGUUGGCCAGGCUGGCCUCGAACUCCUGACCUUGUGAUCCGCCCGCCUCGGCCUCCCAAAGUGCUGGGAUUACAGAAGUGAGCCACCACGCCUGGCCAGUUUCUUUUGGAUAGUACUGACUGGAAACGGGCCUGAGGGAGCCUCUGGGUUGCUGGAAAUGUUCUAUAUUUUGAUGUGGCUGGGGAUUUCACAUGUGUGAAAUGUUUCCACUUCACACGGAAACAUUCAUUCAGCCAUACGCUUAAGAUUAGUGCACUUUACUGUGUGUUAUACCUCAAUAAAGACAUUUUAAAAAGCUAAAUGUAUUAAAGUAUUAAUUAGUUUCAAAACUUACUGGUUAAAGAAGAGGUCUGACAUAUUUCAGAAAACAUAAGGAUGGAUUUAAACAUUAAAAAAAUAAAUUAAAGGCAAGGAACUUCAAUAAAAGCAGUAGACUGGGAUUUUUAAAGCCCUGGAGUAGAAAAUGAAGAUAUCAGGUGGAGUUAGAAAAUAGAUGAAAUUCACCAAAAACCCAGCAAUAAUGUUAGGGAAAAACAAGCAGUGAGACUGUCGACCAGAACUUGAGGCGGUAUCGCUGGUGGGCCCUGACUGGGAGGUGAAGAGACUAGAUUUCGACUUGAAAGUCAACUAGAAGCUAAUCAUUUUUGAGCUGGGCGUCAGGCAUGAUGGUGGUGACAGUAAUGACACAUGUAACAGCUCUUAGCAUUCACUGAACACCUGCUACAGGCCGGAUCUUCUUGUCAGCACUUCAUCACUGCCGUCUCAUUUAAGCCUCAUAACCGCUCUGUGAGGACUGCUACGAUUACCCCAAUUUUACAGAGGGAGAAAUUGAAGAAGCAACUUCUAAGUCAGGGAGAACAGACCAAGAGGGAGGUUGUUAGGAAAUCCCUUGAGUUAAAUGAAUUUAAAUGACUUCACAGAUAUUUAAACAAAUCUAAGGCACAGGCAAAUUACUUAUGCGAUGUAAAUUCUGCAGAAUAAUCCAGCUCAUCGUACACCCAGCAGUACCCUGGCUAGAAUUCUAGGGAGAAGACCAGCACCUCUUAUGUGCUUUCAGGUGUAUAAACUACAUACAAUACAAAACUAAAUUUAAAG
This 1310-nucleotide long non-coding RNA is filed under the name Macaca fascicularis (crab-eating macaque). RNAcentral's name for it is "lncRNA (ENSMFAG00000055498.1)". The record is from RNAcentral. Lineage: Eukaryota; Metazoa; Chordata; Mammalia; Primates; Cercopithecidae.